Long non-coding RNA from Wasmannia auropunctata (little fire ant), 558 nucleotides. RefSeq lists it as uncharacterized. Lineage: Eukaryota; Metazoa; Arthropoda; Insecta; Hymenoptera; Formicidae. The transcript has 4 exons. The record is from RefSeq and is a predicted model, not a curated record.
ACGUGAAGUUGGCUCUCUGUGUCGGCAUGUCGGCCCUCAAUUGUCCGUACAAUUCCAUCCACCGUUCCGUGCCUCUUUCUCUCGGCUCUCCAAUCCCGGCCGCCCGGGCUCCCUUAUUGGACGAGAUUCGGGGUCGCAUCCCUCCGAGGCGAGGGGUGCUCGUUUUAAUCCGAUCCGAGGCUGCGAUCGCGCGCCGGGAUGCGAUAAUGCGGCCUCGCGCAAAAUACGCGAUGGACGACGAGGCCGCGUCUCUCAUGGAGUAAAGCGUCUCCCUCACAAGUAAAGAGCCUUCAGCUAAAGUACCCUCUUAAGCAUACCCUCCGGCUGAUACCUCUGGCGUCUCUGCGUCGUGCACACAGGUACCUGCGUAGAUCUCAGAUCGAUAGAUCGGAGCAGAAAUCGUUCCGAGAAUCGCAAAGGCCAAGGCAACGGCAGGCAGGAAAGCAGGAAGCAGUGUGCUACUAGUAGCGAACUGAGGUAAGGUCGGAUGAGCCGCAAGUCCCCAAACUUCUUCGGCGUGUCCCAGCAUUGCAGGAUUGAAACCCAUAUCGUUCUCGC